This 497-nucleotide ribosomal RNA is filed under the name uncultured bacterium. Its description in RNAcentral is "partial 16S ribosomal RNA". It matches the Rfam family "Bacterial small subunit ribosomal RNA", at positions 28 to 507 of the family's 1533-position model. The record is from RNAcentral.
GAUGAACGCUGGCGGCGUGCCUAAUACAUGCAAGUCGAGCGAACAGAUGAGGAGCUUGCUCCUCUGACGUUAGCGGCGGACGGGAGUGUAACACGUGGAUAACCUACUUAUAAGACGGGGAUAACUUCGGGAAACCGGAGCUAAUACCGGAGAAGAUAUUGAACCGCAUUGUUCAAUAGUGAAAGACGGCUUUUCUGUCACUUAUAGAUGGAUCCCCGCCGGAUUAGCUAGUUGGGAAGGUCACGGCUUACCAAGGCAACGAUGCGUAGACGACCUGAGAGGGGGAUCGGCCACACGGGAACUGAGACACGGUCCAUACUCCUACGGGAGGCAGCAGUAGGGAAUCGUCCGCAACAGGCGAAAGCAUGACGGAGCAACGCCGAGUGAGUGAUGAAGGUCUUCGGAUCGUAAAACUCUGUUAUUAGGGAAGAACAAAUGUGUAAGGAAAUAUGCACGUCUUGACGGUACCUAAUCAGAAAGCCACGGCUAACUACGUG